UCCCGAUUCGAAACCCAGGGGCUUAUGAUAUGGGCAUUCUGGAAAGGGAAAAACAACGCACCUCAAAACACUCAUAUCACAUCGCAACACUCCACAAACCCGACAUGACUGACAUGCCAAAUCAGACCGUCUCCUUCGUGCUUUGAAAGAAGACCUGAUGGCUGGUGCAGUGGCUUCUUGCACAACGGGGGCUCUUCUUCCCUCCUAAGGCGGCCUGUGAUGGAAGCAG
Long non-coding RNA from Herpailurus yagouaroundi (jaguarundi), 229 nucleotides. RefSeq lists it as uncharacterized. NCBI's taxonomy places the organism in Eukaryota, Metazoa, Chordata, Mammalia, Carnivora, Felidae. The transcript has 3 exons. The record is from RefSeq and is a predicted model, not a curated record.